ACGGAAGGCAGCAGUGGGGAAUAUUGCACAAUGGGCGAAAGCCUGAUGCAGCGACGCCGCGUGAGUGAAGAAGUAUCUCGGUAUGUAAAGCUCUAUCAGCAGGGAAGAAAAUGACGGUACCUGACUAAGAAGCCCCGGCUAACUACGUGCCAGCAGCCGCGGUAAUACGUAGGGGGCAAGCGUUAUCCGGAUUUACUGGGUGUAAAGGGAGCGUAGACGGUUUGGCAAGUCUGAAGUGAAAUGCGGGGGCUCAACUCCUGAACUGCUUUGGAAACUGUCGAACUAGAGUGCAGGAGAGGUAAGUGGAAUUCCUAGUGUAGCGGUGAAAUGCGUAGAUAUUAGGAGGAACACCAGUGGCGAAGGCGGCUUACUGGACUGUAACUGACGUUGAGGCUCGAAAGCGUGGGGAGCAAUCAGGAUUAGAUACCCUGGUA
Molecule: ribosomal RNA, 434 nt
Filed under: uncultured Lachnospiraceae bacterium
Lineage: Bacteria; Bacillati; Bacillota; Clostridia; Lachnospirales; Lachnospiraceae
Description: partial 16S ribosomal RNA
Rfam family: Bacterial small subunit ribosomal RNA
Source: RNAcentral